This 21-nucleotide non-coding RNA is filed under the name Caenorhabditis elegans. The record is from RNAcentral. Lineage: Eukaryota; Metazoa; Nematoda; Chromadorea; Rhabditida; Rhabditidae.
UAAACUCACCGACAAAACGAG